RNAcentral lists this ribosomal RNA (970 nucleotides) under Hypomyces amaurodermatis. Its description in RNAcentral is "partial large subunit ribosomal RNA". It matches the Rfam family "Eukaryotic large subunit ribosomal RNA", at positions 78 to 1079 of the family's 3401-position model. The record is from RNAcentral. Lineage: Eukaryota; Fungi; Ascomycota; Sordariomycetes; Hypocreales; Hypocreaceae.
CCCCAGUAACGGCGAGUGAAGCGGCAACAGCUCAAAUUUGAAAUCUGGCCCCUCGGGCCCGAGUUGUAAUUUGUAGAGGAUGCUUUUGGCGCGGCGCUGCCUGAGUUCCCUGGAACGGGACGCCAUAGAGGGUGAGAGCCCCGUCUGGUUGGACGCCUAGCCUCUGUAAAGCUCCUUCGACGAGUCGAGUAGUUUGGGAAUGCUGCUCAAAAUGGGAGGUAUAUGUCUUCUAAAGCUAAAUACCGGCCAGAGACCGAUAGCGCACAAGUAGAGUGAUCGAAAGAUGAAAAGCACUUUGAAAAGAGGGUUAAAUAGUACGUGAAAUUGUUGAAAGGGAAGCGCUCGUGACCAGACUUGGGCUUGGCGGAUCAUCCGGGGUUCUCCCCGGUGCACUCUGCCUCGUCCAGGCCAGCAUCAGCUCGCCGCGGGGGAAAAAGGCUUCGGGAACGUGGCUCCCCCGGGAGUGUUAUAGACCGUUGCACAAUACCCUGCGGUGGGCUGAGGACCGCGCAUCUGCAAGGAUGCUGGCGUAAUGGUCAUCAGCGACCCGUCUUGAAACACGGACCAAGGAGUCGUCUUCGUAUGCGAGUGUUCGGGUGUCAAACCCCUACGCGUAAUGAAAGUGAACGCAGGUGAGAGCUUCGGCGCAUCAUCGACCGAUCCUGAUGUUCUCGGAUGGAUUUGAGUAAGAGCAUACGGGGCCGGACCCGAAAGAAGGUGAACUAUGCCUGUAUAGGGUGAAGCCAGAGGAAACUCUGGUGGAGGCUCGCAGCGGUUCUGACGUGCAAAUCGAUCGUCAAAUAUGGGCAUGGGGGCGAAAGACUAAUCGAACCUUCUAGUAGCUGGUUUCCGCCGAAGUUUCCCUCAGGAUAGCAGUGUUGAUCUCAGUUUUAUGAGGUAAAGCGAAUGAUUAGGGACCCGGGGGCGCUAUAUUGCCUUCAUCCAUUCUCAAACUUUAAAUAUGUAAGAA